This 534-nucleotide ribosomal RNA is filed under the name bacterium C60I_1. Its description in RNAcentral is "bacterial SSU rRNA". It matches the Rfam family "Bacterial small subunit ribosomal RNA", at positions 63 to 598 of the family's 1533-position model. The record is from RNAcentral.
CGAGCGAACAGAUAGGAGCUUGCUCCUGACGUUAGCGGCGGACGGGUGAGUAACACGUGGGAACCUACCCUAUAGUUUGGGAUAACUCCGGGAAACCGGGGCUAAUACCGAAUAACCUCUCAUGAGAAAAGACGGUUUCGGCUGUCGCUAUAGGAUGGGCCCGCGGCGCAUUAGCUAGUUGGUGAGGUAACGGCUCACCAAGGCGACGAUGCGUAGCCGACCUGAGAGGGUGAUCGGCCACACUGGGACUGAGACACGGCCCAGACUCCUACGGGAGGCAGCAGUAGGGAAUCUUCCACAAUGGGCGAAAGCCUGAUGGAGCAACGCCGCGUGAGUGAAGAAGGAUUUCGGUUCGUAAAACUCUGUUGUAAGGGAAGAAAAGUACAGUAGUAACUGGCUGUACCUUGACGGUACCUUAUUAGAAAGCCACGGCUAACUACGUGCCAGCAGCCGCGGUAAUACGUAGGUGGCAAGCGUUGUCCGGAAUUAUUGGGCGUAAAGCGCGCGCAGGUGGUUUCUUAAGUCUGAUGUGAA